This 3273-nucleotide ribosomal RNA is filed under the name Triticum aestivum (bread wheat). Its description in RNAcentral is "partial small subunit ribosomal RNA". The record is from RNAcentral. Lineage: Eukaryota; Viridiplantae; Streptophyta; Magnoliopsida; Poales; Poaceae.
AUGGAGCUCUGCUGCUCGGGGGUCGCAAGCGGCGGCGGCGGGGCCGGUGCCGGGACACCUCGGGCACAGAAACCCAGGACUCCUCCCGGGUUCCUGACUGCCCCGCCCAGCAGGCGGCCGAGCAGCCGCGCCGGCUGCCGCCAGCUCGCGGCGCCGCCCUGCGGCGAACGAGUGGGCCGGCCCGGCGACGCGGGCAACGUCAUCCACAUGCUCAGUUCGGCCGCCGCCGCCGGCCCGGAGGAGGCCCUCGAGCUGUUCAGGUCCGUCGCGCGGCAGCCCAGGGUCGCCCACACCACGGAGUCGUGCAACUACAUGCUCGAGCUGAUGCGCGCGCACGGCCGGGUCGGGGACGUGGCCCAGGUGUUCGACCUAAUGCAGAGGCAGAUCGUCAAGGCCAAUGUGGGCACCUUCUGCACCGUCUUCGGGGCGGUCGGCGUCGAAGGGGGCCUCCGGAGCGCGCCGGUGGCCCUGCCGGUGAUGAAGGAGGCCGGGAUUGCCUUGAACGCCUACACCUACAACGGCCUCAUCUAUUUCCUCGUCAAGUCUGGCUUCGACGGGGAGGCCAUGGAGGUGUACAAGGCCAUGGCGGCGGAUGGCGUCGUGCCGACUGUCAGGACCUACUCCGUGCUGAUGCUGGCGUUUGGGAAGAGGAGGGACGCUGAGACUGUUGUUGGGCUGUUGGGCGAGAUGGAGGCUCGUGGAGUGAGGCCAAAUGUGUACAGCUACACCAUCUGCAUCCGGGUUCUUGGACAAGCUGGAAGAUUAGAGGAGGCGUACAGGAUUCUUCGCAAAAUGGAGGAAGAGGGGUGCAAGCCCGAUGUUGUCACCAAUACUGUGCUUAUACAGAUUCUCUGUGAUGCCGGGCGACUUGCUGAUGCCAAGGAUGUAUUUUGGAAGAUGAAAGCGAGUGACCAAAAACCUGAUAGAGUGACCUACAUUACUCUCCUAGACAAGUGCGGCGACAAUGGUGACUCGCGGUCAGUAAGUGAAAUAUGGAAUGCUUUGAAAGCUGAUGGGUAUAACGACAAUGUUGUUGCUUAUACUGCAGCUGUCGAUGCAUUGUGCCAAGUUGGGAGGGUCGAUGAAGCCUCAGAUGUUUUCGAUGAGAUGAAACAAAAGGGUAUCGUACCUCAGCAGUAUUCAUACAACUCCUUGAUAUCUGGAUUUCUUAAAGCUGAUAGGUUUAACCGUGCUCUGGAGCUGUUCAACCAUAUGAAUAUUCAUGGUCCUACUCCUAAUGGCUACACACAUGUUCUGUUCAUAAAUUACUAUGGAAAAUCUGGCGAAUCUCUGAAAGCACUUAAAAGGUAUGAGCUUAUGAAGAGCAAAGGAAUUAUUCCCGAUGUUGUUGCUGGUAAUGCUGUAUUGUAUGGUCUUGCUAAAUCUGGGCGGCUGGGAAUGGCAAAAAGGGUCUUCCAUGAAUUGAAAGCUAUGGGAAUUUCUCCAGAUAAUAUCACCUACACGAUGAUGAUCAAGUGUUGCAGCAAGGCAUCGAAUGCUGAUGAGGCCAUGAAGAUCUUCUCUGAAAUGAUCGAGAACAGAUGUGCUCCUGAUGUUCUUGCAAUGAAUUCUUUGAUUGAUAUGCUCUACAAGGCAGGCAGGGGAAAUGAAGCCUGGAAAAUCUUCUAUGAACUGAAAGAAAUGAACCUUGAACCCACUGACUGUACUUACAACACACUUUUGGCAGGAUUAGGAAGAGAAGGUAAAGUCAAGGAGGUAAUGCAACUGCUUGAAGGAAUGAACUCUAAUAGCUUUCCACCUAAUAUAAUAACGUACAAUACUGUUCUGGAUUGUCUCUGCAAAAAUGGGGAGGUGAACUAUGCACUGGGCAUGCUUUACAGUAUGACGAUGAACGGUUGCAUGCCUGACCUUUCAUCUUACAACACUGUGAUGCAUGGUCUUGUUAAAGAGGACAGAUUUGAUGAGGCAUUCUGGAUGUUUUGUCAGAUGAAAAAGGUUCUUGCUCCAGAUUACGCAACAGUGUGUACUAUCCUCCCGAGUUUUGUGAGGAGUGGAUUAAUGAAGGAAGCUCUGCAUAUUGUUAAAGAAUAUAUUCUUCAACCUGAUUCUAAAGUGGAUAGAUCUUCGGUCCAAUCACUGAUGGAAGGGAUACUGAAGAGGGAUGGUACAGAGAAGUCAAUUGAGUUUGCUGAAAACAUAGCAUCAAGUGGCAUUCUUCUGGAUGAUUUGUUUUUGUGCCCAAUAAUUAGGCACCUUUGCAAGCAUAAGGAGGCUCAGGCGGCACAUGAACUUGCCAAGAAGUUUGAGAAUUUUGGUGUUUCGCUAAAAAUUGGGUCAUAUAAUGCUCUUAUUUGCGGCCUUGUGGAUGAAGACCUGAUUGAUAUCGCUGAAGAGUUGUUCUCUGAGAUGAAGAGACUCGGAUGUGACCCUGAUGAGUUUACUUACCAUUUGAUUCUCGAUGCCAUGGGGAAGUCAAUGCGGAUUGGGGAUAUGCUGAAAGUCCAAGAAGAGAUGCAUAACAAGGGAUACAAAUCAACUUAUGUUACCUAUAACACAAUCAUUUCGGGUCUUGUAAAAUCAAAAAUGUUGGACGAGGCUAUAAACUUAUACUACCAGCUGAUGAGCGAAGGCUUCUCUCCCACCCCAUGUACAUAUGGUCCUCUUCUUGAUGGGCUGUUGAAAGAUGGAAAUGUUGAAGAUGCAGAAGCUCUUUUCGAUGAGAUGGUGGAGUGUGGCUGCGAGCCCAAUUGCGCCAUCUACAACAUUCUGCUCAAUGGAUAUCGAUUAGCAGGUGACACAGAGAAAGUUUGUGAGCUCUUUGAGAACAUGGUGGAGCAGGGGAUAAACCCAGAUAUAAAAUCAUACACAGUUGUCAUCGACACCCUCUGCGCAGACGGGCGGUUGAAUGAUGGCCUGUCUUACUUCAAACAGCUGACAGAUAUGGGACUUGAGCCUGACCUCAUCACCUAUAACUUGCUCAUACACGGUCUAGGUAAAUCUGGAAGACUAGAGGAGGCACUCUCCCUCUACAAUGACAUGGAGACAAAAGGAAUCGCCCCGAACCUGUACACGUACAACUCACUGAUCCUCUACCUGGGAAAAGCAGGGAAGGCCGCUGAAGCCGGCAAAAUGUACGAAGAACUGCUGGCGAAAGGCUGGAAGCCCAAUGUUUUCACAUACAACGCCCUUAUCCGAGGGUACAGUGUUUCUGGCAGCCCUGAAAAUGCCUUUGCGGCCUACGGUCGGAUGAUUGUUGGAGGGUGCCGGCCUAAUUCGAGCACCUACAUGCAACUUCCAAAUCAAAUGUUGUAA